AUUUUGCUCACAGAUCAUUAUUAACAUUCUGUAUAUAAUUCAAUUUUAUUUUCUCUCCCCUUUUUUAUUAUUUUUAUUUUUAGCUGAAAAGACGUAAAGGCAGUCAGCCCAGUGGUGUUUCUGGAGAGGGAUUCCUUCAGAAAUGGAGAAGACAGAAAGCUGCGGAGGCAGAUAUAUGCAGCAGUCUAAAAUAUCGAGCUCAACAGCUAUUUGAAGAGCCAACCCUCACAAACCUUCCUAAAAACUAAAAGAGCUAUUACUGAGUCUCAGCGAAUCUUGCCAUGAUCAGCUCUUCCCAGGUACAUUUGUUUAGAAUAUUUUUUUAAUCAACAUUUACUCAUCAAAUGCUCUGGUCUGAAUCUUACUUUAAAUUAACUUAAUUAUGUUUAAUGAGCAACAUUAAUUGCACACAGAGUAAGUAGAGAUUAUCUUGUUUCACAGAAGAGAAGGAAGACC
RNAcentral lists this long non-coding RNA (456 nucleotides) under Carassius auratus (goldfish). RNAcentral describes it as "lncRNA (ENSCARG00000005773.1)". The record is from RNAcentral. Lineage: Eukaryota; Metazoa; Chordata; Actinopteri; Cypriniformes; Cyprinidae.